UACAGAGGGUGCAAGCGUUAUUCGGAAUUAUUGGGCGUAAAGAGCGCGUAGGCGGCUUGGUAAGUCCGAUGUGAAAGCCCUGGACUCAAUUCAGGAAGUGCAUCGGGUACUGCUAAGCUAGAGUACAGGAGAGGACAGCGGAAUUUCUGGUGUAGAGGUGAAAUUCGUAGAUAUCAGAAGGAACAACAGAAGCGAAGGCGGCUGUCUGGACUGUCACUGACGCUGAGGCGCGAAAGCGUGGGGAGCAAACAGG
Molecule: ribosomal RNA, 253 nt
Filed under: uncultured bacterium
Lineage: Bacteria
Also listed under: 1 other name
Description: partial 16S ribosomal RNA
Rfam family: Bacterial small subunit ribosomal RNA
Source: RNAcentral